UGGGAGGCAGCAGUAAGGAAUUUUAGACAAUGGGCGAAAGCCUGAUCCAGCAAUGCCGCGUGCAGGAUGAAGGCCUUCGGGUUGUAAACUGCUUUUGUACGGAACGAAACGGUCUUUCCUAAUACGGAGGGCUAAUGACGGUACCGUAAGAAUAAGCACCGGCUAACUACGUGCCAGCAGCCGCGGUAAUACGUAGGGUGCGAGCGUUAAUCGGAAUUACUGGGCGUAAAGCGUGCGCAGGCGGUUUUGUAAGACAGAUGUGAAAUCCCCGGGCUCAACCUGGGACCUGCAUUUGUGACUGCAAGGCUAGAGUACGGUAGAGGGGGAUGGAAUUCCGCGUGUAGCAGUGAAAUGCGUAGAUAUGCGGAGGAACACCGAUGGCGAAGGCAAUCCCCUGGACCUGUACUGACGCUCAUGCACGAAAGCGUGGGGAGCAAACAGGAUUAGAUACCCUAGUAGUCC
This 462-nucleotide ribosomal RNA is filed under the name uncultured bacterium. RNAcentral describes it as "bacterial SSU rRNA". It matches the Rfam family "Bacterial small subunit ribosomal RNA", at positions 342 to 796 of the family's 1533-position model. The record is from RNAcentral.